CCACCAAGUCGAGUACUACCACCACCAUCCACUAGACCAAUAACUCUACCACAUGGUCGAGUCCCUUAUCAUCAUUCACUCGAUGUCCUUACUGGACUGCUAGCUUCAGAGUCUUCUCCAUUCCGCACUCAACCAGACACUCAAGCACAAGGAAGAAAAGAAGACUUUAGCUUAUCACUCGACCACUCACUCGACCACCUGGGUCGAGUACUGCUCUUAAUCUGUCCUAAUACUACGUCGUUUUGAGUAUUAGGGUUUAAAAAAUAUUUCGCUAUAAGUAGCAUGCACUUUACAUUUUCGAGAACAAGUUUUUAUCUAGUUUUAUUCCGUAGACACUGUGUUCUAGACCUUUUGUAAUCCGGAUUUCUGUUUAUCUAUUCAGUAUUCAGCAUUCGUUCUUGAUUUCAUUUACUUUUGUUCAUCCUGUUAGCAUCCUGCUAUUACACUGUUGUUAUCAUGUUUUCAUCUUGUUCAACGUUUAUGUUCUCUGCAAUGAUGUCUGAGUAGUGAAUCGGUUUCUGAGGAUGGGUUAGAGUAGUGUAGAAUUCUCAAGUAUGCUAGGUGGUUGAGUAUUGAUUGAUAGAUCCCUUCUGGAUUAGUUGUUCGUAAUGCCUAUUGCUUUUUGAUCAACUGGAAUUUGAGUUCAGACAUUUCCGCGCCCAAAAGGUGUUCGAUGAAAUGUCUGAACCACUAAUUCCAGAGAUUCGUGGCCCUGUACCAAGGUAUUGGUUGUAGGGAGCGUUUUGGCUUUAACUUGUUGAUUCGUAAUGCAUGUUAGGUUAGCUCUCGUCAAUGGUGAUUGAGUCUGGGACUAGGUUAACUUGAGGGUCUCUGUUGUGGUGGCACUUAGAUUUGGUUAAUGAACUUGUUGUCUAGGGAUAAUUUAUUGAGCAUAUCAAUCACCUGUAAACUGAGAAAACAAAACUACUCAAUUACCCCAUCCUCGAGAAUUCUUUAUCUGAUUGAAUUCUUUGUUUACUCUAUUGUUGUUUACUGCAUCUUGUCAUCUGUUGCUUAAUUUUUGCAAUUCUUUCUUGUUACUCGACCUCAUACUCGAACACCUAGUUGUCUGGCAACAGACUGUGCAGUCGAGUAUAUGUGUUAUACUUUCUGUCUGUUACUCGACCUGUCACUCGACCUCACCCAGUGCUCUGCAAAGAGCUGUGUUGGUCGAGUGUUUUAUUGUUUCUGCUUGAUUUUCUGUUUUCUGCAUGUUCACUUAGAACUAGUAGAACACAUCAAAACCUUUUAUUGAUUGGCUUGACUUAGUGACUUCUGAUCACAUCCUGAUUGUUAGCAUCACACCCAUUUGGAUUGACAACCUAAAAUACUACAACGACAUGAUUGGUGUUUUAGGAUAAUUGACUAAAAACCGAUUAUCAAUUUGGCGCUGUUACCAAUUGGGUGUUUGUUUGUUACAUUUAAGAUUUCAGAUUUACUUAGAUCAAGUUCUAUUUC
Molecule: small RNA, 1458 nt
Filed under: Arabidopsis thaliana (thale cress)
Lineage: Eukaryota; Viridiplantae; Streptophyta; Magnoliopsida; Brassicales; Brassicaceae
Description: ATSL033970
Source: RNAcentral